UACAGAGGUCUCAAGCGUUGUUCGGAUUCAUUGGGCGUAAAGGGUGCGUAGGCGGCGCGGUAAGUCGGGUGUGAAAUCUCGGGGCUUAACUCCGAAACUGCAUUCGAUACUGCCGUGAUUGAGGACUGGAGAGGAGACUGGAAUUUACGGUGUAGCAGUGAAAUGCGUAGAUAUCGUAAGGAAGACCAGUUGCGAAGGCGAAUCUCUGGACAGUUACUGACACUGAGGCACGAAGGCCAGGGGAGCAAACGGG
RNAcentral lists this ribosomal RNA (253 nucleotides) under uncultured bacterium. RNAcentral's name for it is "partial 16S ribosomal RNA". It matches the Rfam family "Bacterial small subunit ribosomal RNA", at positions 524 to 776 of the family's 1533-position model. The record is from RNAcentral.